Chlorocebus sabaeus (green monkey) is the source of this 1139-nucleotide long non-coding RNA. RefSeq lists it as uncharacterized. NCBI's taxonomy places the organism in Eukaryota, Metazoa, Chordata, Mammalia, Primates, Cercopithecidae. The record is from RefSeq and is a predicted model, not a curated record.
GCUGCGGGCAGGGCAGAAGGGGCUGGAGAGGCUGCUCUGAGUGCCCUACAAGUUCCCGUCCUGACCCUGCCAGUUUAGAGGGACGCCCCCCUGCCUCUCCACCCACGCUUCCACCCGGACCGCAGCCCCACCAACGGAGGGCCACUCUACAAGCAUGGAACCACAACCUAUCUGAUCUUUGUUCAAAUUCCUUCUCCUUCCACACUUACUGUAGAAUUCCAAGAAUGAAGAAUUAUUCCCAGUCAUGCAAGGUUGAAGAGACACUUCUCUGCUGAUGGGAGGAUCAACUGUUUCCAUAUUUUUUGGAAAGCAGUUUGACAGAAUGUAUGAAAAGUAAAAAUCUGUUUCAUUAAUCCCUUCCCAGAACCUAUCCUCAAUUUAAGAAUUGGAAACAUACGUGCACACUGAUUGUAGUGGUGAAAAAUGGGAAAACACCUAAACGUUCCUCAGUGCAGAAAAGGUUAAAUAAAUUGUACAUUCAAAAGAACGUCAUGUAGCCCUUCAAAUCGGCCUCAUCUCUCCAAUGGCAUAAGAAAGGUGUAUAAUAUAGUACUGUCUGCAAAGCAUGCCAGAGCCGUUUUGUCUGGAGGGAUUUCCGUCAGUAUGCGGGGCCAUUUCCUCAUGGUGGGAGUACAGGCAAAUCUCACUUUGAUCAUUAUAAAAACCAUAAGCUAAAAGGAGGAUAUUUUUUGGCGGGGUGGGAGAGCCCACUGAGUCCCGCCCACUCCAUUUACAUGUUUCAGAAAGCCUUCUCACUUGCUGCUUCUACUCUCUCCAUCUUCAUUUUUUUUUUUCCUUAGCACGUUUUCUCUACUACUGGAGGAAAAUAUUAACAGACAUCAUACAUGCUCAUAACAAACUAAAGAUACAUAAUUAGGAUACUACUAUAGACCGUUCCUCAGUGACUCUUUCUCACUUGCCAACACUUUAUCCUCCUGGCUCUGGAUGCCCAGAUGACCACACCAUAAAUUCUCCCAACUGAGGCACAUUUAUAUUGCUUUCACAUUUUCUCCACAGUAACCCAGCAACACCAGAAUAAACCUGUACACUUCCAUGCUGGUGCUUUUACUUCUAACCAGGUUUGGUUUCAAAGUGAUAGUGCCCAAUUAACUGCAAAACAUUUCCAAGUCAUGCUGCUU